GGGAGCUUGCUCCCGGAUGUUAGCGGCGGACGGGAUGAAGUAACACGUGGGUAACCUGCCUGUAAGACUGGGAUAACUCCGGGAAACCGGAGCUAAUACCGGAUAGUUCCUUGAACCGCAUGGUUCAAGGAUGAAAGACGGUUUCGGCUGUCACUUACAGAUGGACCCGCGGCGCAUUAGCUAGUUGGUGAGGUAACGGCUCACCAAGGCGACGAUGCGUAGCCGACCUGAGAGGGUGAUCGGCCACACUGGGACUGAGACACGGCCCAGACUCCUACGGGAGGCAGCAGUAGGGAAUCUUCCGCAAUGGACGAAAGUCUGACGGAGCAACGCCGCGUGAGUGAUGAAGGUUUUCGGAUCGUAAAGCUCUGUUGUUAGGGAAGAACAAGUGCAAGAGUAACUGCUUGCACCUUGACGGUACCUAACCAGAAAGCCACGGCUAACUACGUGCCAGCAGCCGCGGUAAUACGUAGGUGGCAAGCGUUGUCCGGAAUUAUUGGGCGUAAAGGGCUCGCAGGCGGUUUCUUAAGUCUGAUGUGAAAGCCCCCGGCUCAACCGGGGAGGGUCAUUGGAAACUGGGAAACUUGAGUGCAGAAGAGGAGAGUGGAAUUCCACGUGUAGCGGUGAAAUGCGUAGAGAUGUGGAGGAACACCAGUGGCGAAGGCGACUCUCUGGUCUGUAACUGACGCUGAGGAGCGAAAGCGUGGGGAGCGAACAGGAUUAGAUACCCUGGUAGUCCACGCCGUAAACGAUGAGUGCUAAGUGUUAGGGGGUUUCCGCCCCUUAGUGCUGCAGCUAACGCAUUAAGCACUCCGCCUGGGGAGUACGGUCGCAAGACUGAAACUCAAAGGAAUUGACGGGGGCCCGCACAAGCGGUGGAGCAUGUGGUUUAAUUCGAAGCAACGCGAAGAACCUCACCAGGUCUUGACAUCCUCUGACAACCCUAGAGAUAGGGCUUUCCCUUCGGGGACAGAGUGACAGGUGGUGCAUGGUUGUCGUCAGCUCGUGUCGUGAGAUGUUGGGUUAAGUCCCGCAACGAGCGCAACCCUUGAUCUUAGUUGCCAGCAUUCAGUUGGGCACUCUAAGGUGACUGCCGGUGACAAACCGGAGGAAGGUGGGGAUGACGUCAAAUCAUCAUGCCCCUUAUGACCUGGGCUACACACGUGUGGCUACGGACAGAACAAAGGGCUGCGAGACUGCAAGGUUUAGCCAAUCCCACAAAUCUGUUAUCAGUUCGGAUCGCAGUCUGCAACUCGAAUG
Molecule: ribosomal RNA, 1260 nt
Filed under: Bacillus pumilus
Lineage: Bacteria; Bacillati; Bacillota; Bacilli; Caryophanales; Bacillaceae
Description: bacterial SSU rRNA
Rfam family: Bacterial small subunit ribosomal RNA
Source: RNAcentral